UACGGGGGGUGCAAGCGUUGUCCGGAUUUACUGGGCGUAAAGGGCGCGUAGGCGGUUGUAUCAGUCGGGCUUAUAAGUGCGGGGCUCAACCCCGUGAUGGGUUCGGGACGGUAUGACUGGGGCGCGGUCGAGGGAGACGGAAUGCCGGGUGUAGUGGUGAAAUGCGUAGAGAUCCGGCGGAACACCGGUGGUGAAGGCGGUCUCCUAGGCCGAGGGCCGACGCUGAGGCGCGAGAGCGUGGGGAGCGAACCGG
This 253-nucleotide ribosomal RNA is filed under the name uncultured bacterium. RNAcentral describes it as "partial 16S ribosomal RNA". It matches the Rfam family "Bacterial small subunit ribosomal RNA", at positions 524 to 776 of the family's 1533-position model. The record is from RNAcentral.